Molecule: ribosomal RNA, 253 nt
Filed under: uncultured bacterium
Lineage: Bacteria
Description: partial 16S ribosomal RNA
Rfam family: Bacterial small subunit ribosomal RNA
Source: RNAcentral
UACAGAGGGUGCGAGCGUUAAUCGGAAUUACUGGGCGUAAAGCGCGCGUAGGCGGCUUUGCAAGUCGGGUGUGAAAUCCCCAGGCUUAACCUGGGAAUGGCAUUUGGGACUGCAAGGCUUGAGUGCGGCAGAGGAGACUGGAAUUCCUGGUGUAGCAGUGAAAUGCGUAGAUAUCAGGAGGAAUACCGAUGGCGAAGGCAGGUCUCUGGGCUGACACUGACGCUCAUGCACGAAAGCGUGGGGAGCAAACAGG